GAUGAACGCUAGCUACAGGCUUAACACAUGCAAGUCGAGGGACCGGCGCACGGGUGAGUAACGCGUAUCCAACCUGCCCAUAAGUAGGGUAUAACCCGCAGAAAUGCGGACUACUCCCCUAUGCUUAUGGAUGGGGAGGCGUUCGAUUAGGUUGUUGGUAAGGUAACGGCCCACCAAGGCUUCGAUCGGGAGGGGUUCUGAGAGGAAGGCCCCCCACAUAGGAACUGAGACACGGUCGUAACUCCUACGGGAGGCAGCAGUGAGGAAUAUUGGUGAAUGGGCGAGAGCCUGAACCAGCCAAGUAGCGUGCAGGAAGGCGGCGUAUGGGUUGUAAACUGCUUUUAUGCGGGGAUAGGUACCGCAUGAAUAAGGACCGGCUAAUUCCGUGCCAGCAGCCGCGGUAAUUC
RNAcentral lists this ribosomal RNA (407 nucleotides) under uncultured bacterium. RNAcentral describes it as "partial 16S ribosomal RNA". It matches the Rfam family "Bacterial small subunit ribosomal RNA", at positions 28 to 526 of the family's 1533-position model. The record is from RNAcentral.